RNAcentral lists this long non-coding RNA (284 nucleotides) under Mus musculus (house mouse). Its description in RNAcentral is "predicted gene 2682". The record is from RNAcentral. Lineage: Eukaryota; Metazoa; Chordata; Mammalia; Rodentia; Muridae.
CUGACUUGGAAAGCAAAAUCAAAAAUGACAAAAGCCUAGGAUAACUGCCAUCUGGAAGGCUUCACCCAACAACUGAUGCAAGCUGAUGCUGAGACCCAUGACUGAACAUUAGGUGGAGCUUGGUUUCUCUUCCUGAGACAUGAUGUUGCCAAGACCUUGCAGGAGACAACGUAGACAACAAUCUUUAAUGAAAAUACCUAAUUAAAAAAAAAGAAAGAAACUGUGCCUACUUAUAUUCCCUCUUGAAGACAAAAAUAAAAUUAAUGAUCUGAGUUAUUUUCUAA